GACGAACGCUGGCGGCGUGCUUAACACAUGCAAGUCGAACGGAAAGACCAUGCUUUUGUGGGGUGCUCGAGUGGCGAACGGGUGAGUAACACGUGAGUAACCUGCCCUUGACUUUGGGAUAACUUCAGGAAACUGGGGCUAAUACCGGAUAGGAGCUCCUGCUGCAUGUUGGUGGUUGGAAAGUUUCGGCUGUUGGGGAUGGACUCGCGGCUUAUCCGCUUGUUGGUGGGGUAGUGGCUUACCAAGGCUUUGACGGGUAGCCGGCCUGAGAGGGUACCCGGCCACAUUGGGACUGAGGUACGGCCCAGACGCCAACGUGAGGCAGCGGUGGGGAAUAUGGCACAAUGAGCGGGAGCCUGAUGCAACAACGCCGCGUGCGUGAAGACGGCCUUCGGGUUGUAAACCGCUUUCGCCUGAGACGAAGCGUUAGUGACGGUAAUGAGUAAAGAAGCACCGGCUAACUACGUG
This 468-nucleotide ribosomal RNA is filed under the name uncultured bacterium. RNAcentral describes it as "partial 16S ribosomal RNA". It matches the Rfam family "Bacterial small subunit ribosomal RNA", at positions 28 to 507 of the family's 1533-position model. The record is from RNAcentral.